Molecule: long non-coding RNA, 1382 nt
Filed under: Solanum tuberosum (potato)
Lineage: Eukaryota; Viridiplantae; Streptophyta; Magnoliopsida; Solanales; Solanaceae
Description: long non-coding RNA (STUB_LNC002140)
Source: RNAcentral
AUUUGCACAAAAAAAAAUUCACAAUGCUUUCUCUUUCAAUUGAAACUGACUUCAAGGUAAUUCUUAUGUCAUCAAAGACUUUGAACUAAAUUUAACAUCAUGCUUCAAAUUCCCUCACCAUAAAGAAAGUCUAAAUUUUCCAAUGUUUAAAAUGUUUUGAUUAGAGAACAAUUUGUGAAAUACACUCACAUUUAGAAAAAUGUUCAACGUAUGCAACUAUGAUACCAUAGGCUUGACUUUCAUGUAAAGUUUUGUGAGAACAUUUAAAAAUGAAAUCAUGUAGGGCUUUUUAUUGAUUUGUAGUGUAGGCUUAAGGAUGGGUAGGAUAUUCAUUUAGAUAGAAGUGACUUAAUCCCUUCUUGAGCAUUGAACUAAAUUUGUGUUUUCAACUUUUGUUACGCUUUUAGCAUUUGAUCCUCUGUGUUGUCCCUUCCUUUUGUACUUUUUGACUUCUUUUGAAAUUUUGCUUGUCUGAGUUUUUUCGCCCUUCUCAUCAUUUUUUAAAGUUUCUCUUGUUUGUUUAGAGUGUUCUUCUUCUUUUGUUGAAAUUUGGUUACUUGAACUUGUAGGGAAAUUUUAACUAUUUUUUAAAGUUGUUUCUGUAUUGCUGACUUUCAUGGACUAUGUAACCUUUAUCUUUGACAAAUUUAAACUUUGAAUUUUUUUUUAUAACUUGCACAUCUUCAGUGCGCUCAAGAAAGUCAGGCCAAAAGAGGGAUAGUUCAUAGAAGCACUCAAAAAGGAUAGAGGCUAAAAUGUGGUUGUCCAAAUAAAUGGUUUAAAGCUAAAAGUGGGGACAUGCUAAGGAUUAAUGUCAUUUGAUAGGCUUUGAAAGGCACAAACGGGACAAAGAAGACCUGCAAUCAUUUCUCAAAUAAAACAUUACUCAGGAUUUUGCCUCAACAGCAUUCAGGUCGAGUUCUAGAUCACAACACAAUACAAUUGAAUUUAAUUCAAAACUAACAACCCAAUGCACAUGAAACAGUGAAUCUAAUUUUGUUCUUAUCUUGAAUGCAUGCAAAAGAACAUUUUCAAAAGUUUCAAAAAUAUGAAUGAGACGUACCAAAAGAUUCUAUGAUUUACCACGAAGCCAGUCCUCUCCAUUGUAUCACUUAUUCUUUCAUAUGAACUUUAAUUCUGUUGGCACAAUCAAGUCAAAAAUAUAAAAUAAUGUAUAUUUUUAUGAAUAAGGAAUACCGAACCUCAAAGGACUGCCAACGUAUCUCAUUGAAAUGAGAAUCAGAUAUGCGUAGUUCAUGCAGUUAUGACGUAAAACAUAUGUUUUGAACAAUAAAUGAUAUUUUUGAAAGAAAAAUAAUAGAAAUGAAAAAUCAAUGAGUCACACUGACGGGCGGACCACUCAAACUUAAAAAAUAUCAAAC